This 694-nucleotide ribosomal RNA is filed under the name uncultured bacterium. RNAcentral describes it as "bacterial SSU rRNA". It matches the Rfam family "Bacterial small subunit ribosomal RNA", at positions 824 to 1517 of the family's 1533-position model. The record is from RNAcentral.
UGGAGGGUUUCCGCCCUUCAGUGCUGCAGCAAACGCAUUAAGCACUCCGCCUGGGGAGUACGACCGCAAGGUUGAAACUCAAAGGAAUUGACGGGGGCCCGCACAAGCGGUGGAGCAUGUGGUUUAAUUCGAAGCAACGCGAAGAACCUUACCAGGUCUUGACAUCCUUUGACCACUCUAGAGAUAGAGCUUUCCCUUCGGGGACAAAGUGACAGGUGGUGCAUGGUUGUCGUCAGCUCGUGUCGUGAGAUGUUGGGUUAAGUCCCGCAACGAGCGCAACCCUUAUUGUUAGUUGCCAUCAUUUAGUUGGGCACUCUAGCGAGACUGCCGGUGACAAACCGGAGGAAGGUGGGGAUGACGUCAAAUCAUCAUGCCCCUUAUGACCUGGGCUACACACGUGCUACAAUGGGAAGUACAACGAGUCGCUAGACCGCGAGGUCAUGCAAAUCUCUUAAAGCUUCUCUCAGUUCGGAUUGCAGGCUGCAACUCGCCUGCAUGAAGCCGGAAUCGCUAGUAAUCGCGGAUCAGCACGCCGCGGUGAAUACGUUCCCGGGCCUUGUACACACCGCCCGUCACACCACGAGAGUUUGUAACACCCGAAGUCGGUGAGGUAACCUUUUUGGAGCCAGCCGCCUAAGGUGGGAUAGAUGAUUGGGGUGAAGUCGUAACAAGGUAACCAAGGGCGAAUUCGCGG